Equus caballus (horse) is the source of this 2877-nucleotide long non-coding RNA. The record is from Ensembl. NCBI's taxonomy places the organism in Eukaryota, Metazoa, Chordata, Mammalia, Perissodactyla, Equidae.
AGGAUGAGAUAAAGAGAAAUAUGGGAUCCACACCCUGCUCAGAACAUGAAGCCCCAUAACUCCGGAAUGCCUGGCAGGAGUGACUUUUCUGAGAAUGGAGCCUGGGACAGCCACCCAACGUGCUGAGUGGAGGUGGCUAAGGACAUUUCCAGCCCAGCAGUCGUCAUGGUUUAUGUGUUGUUGACCUCCGCUUUGGAGUCGAUUGACGUCACCUCCUAGUUCUGCCCCUAGGUUCUGUAAAACCAUCACUGAACCUUCCAGCCCCUUCCCUGGAGACAGAGUAGGUUCUGGAAACCUUCGGGUACCUGUGAUUCCAGGGCAGCAGGCAGUGUACUGGAGGGCGAUCGGGGCUGUGUUGCCCACACCUGAGGCCCAGACUCCACACACACUGCACCAUUUCUCUCCCAUAGUCAACCAUUCUUGCGGUUGCUUCCCUGUGGGGGACUCAGCCCAGUGCUAAGUCCCUCCUUUUUCAUUCUGCCUAAGCCCCUUCCUUCCAGCUCUGCCUUUUCUCCAUCAGCCCCUCAACUCAUCCUUGAUCCCCUCCUCCCGCUCAGCACCUGGGGCUGGGACAGCUCCCCAGGGACGCCGAUAGUCUCAGAGCAUCUGCCCAGCGCCUGAACUGGUAUGAACUGGAGAGUGUGGGUCAGCCUGACAGUUGCUCCUGCCAGGCCUGUGACCUCUAGAAUCCAUCCCUUCUCUCUCCACUCAUGCUCUGAGCCAGGACUGCCACAUCUCCUGGAUGCUCACUGGGCUAGGACAAGCCACCCAGUAUUUCAUGCCCCAUGUCUUUGCUCACUCUAUUCCCUUUGCCAAAAACAUCUUUUCUGGUGAAUCCCUUUUCUGCUUCAAGGCUCAACUCGAAUGCCACUGUGCAAGUAAAGCCCUCUCAAUCUACCUUAGGCUACUCUGUUGCCCAUUGAACUUUUUCUUAUCAUUAUCAUAGCAGUUAUGUCUCUGUUUUCAUGUCUGCCUCCCUACUGGAGGGUGUCUUUUCUGGAAUGGACUGGGUCAUAUUGAUCUGUGGAUCUCCAGAACUUGGUUCCGUGUAGCUCAUUGAGUAUUUGUUGUUGCUGUUGGCCCUCACCUAGAGUAGAUCCUUGGUCUGGGAUGUGAGUUGGAGAAGGUCUCAGACUCCCCAGAGACAAUGGUCUACCUGCAUGGCAAUGAGUACCGGUGGUGUGUGUCAUGCCUCCUCUUCCUUGCCAGGCCACGACCCCAUCCUACUGCAGGUCCUGUAGUGCCAGGCUGGUUGCAAGACACGGUACUCCUCACCUCUGACAAAACCACAGCUUGGCCCAUUGGUACCCCGUGGGAUGGAGCAGCCACAUCUGGCUAACAUCUGGAUGCUUUCUCCCCAGCUCUGGGCAGCUGUCUCCUGUAGUUUUUCCCUCCUCCUAUGGCUUUACCGACUCCUCCUGCUGCUCUAAGAGAGCCCUAGAGAGUGGGCUCAGAGUGGAAAGAGAGGGCAGGGGGCAUCUCCCUGUCUUCCUCCCUCUCCUUCCUCCUGGCUGGCUGCAGCUGUGCUGCGUGAUGUGGAACUGAACACAAUCUUAAUUAGUGCUCAGCCCUGCUCAUUAUUGCCUCUGGAAACCAGAGAAGCUCCAAGUUAGGAAGUCUUGAUCUCAGUGGAGGCCAGGGCCCCAGAUGUCCUAGUCCUGCUUCUUGUGGAUUGGGUCUGUACGACCUGGGAUCCCUUUUUGGGCCUUUAAAGGGAGAUGCCCCUCCCUGGAAUGAGGAAAGGGCUGGAGCUGGAGGGAGGAGAGGGAAGCCUAGGCCCCUCAUGGACUCUCACUCUGUGCAGAGCAUCUCCAGGACAGCGUGUCGUGGAACAUGUGAAACUCCACUGCAAUCAGAGAAAGAUGAACGAAUGAUUAAAUAAAGCAAAUGUGCUCAAAUCCAGCACACUGGUGACUUGCCUGCCUUUAGAGGGACUAAAGCAAGAGGACUGAUGCAUUGUUCAGCAUUCUUUUUUUUUUCUUUCGGUGAAAUGGAAUAAAGAACUGUGAAGUGCCUGAAUACUAAACAAAAGGAAGCUGAGCGAAGGAGGAGAAGAGGGGCGGACCUGGAAAUUAUAACCCAUAGGCCUGGUUCCAAUAUCUGGGAAAACUCCUUCACAAAUAUCAACUUGUAAACAGCCUAGAAGAUCAAAUGAGACAAUACACAUGAAAGCCCUUGAACUGUGAAGGGCUUUAUAAAUUUAAGGUGUUAUUAUUGUAAUGUUUCUGCUCAGUGCAGACUAUCAAACAGAUGCUAUUGGGAGGCUGUAGAUUUAUGAUAGUGGCUCGUCACCCACAAGGUACUCACAGAAUUUAGGCUGUUUCAUUUAAUUAGUCAUUGCCUGUCACAGAAGCUACUGCAGAAGCCUUCUAAGUGGACUCCUCACCUCCACCUUUCCGUUUGUUCUGUUUAUCUUCUGUGCCACCGCCCGCUUAAUUUCCCUGAUGCAGAGCUCUGAUCAAAUACUUCAGUGUUCCUCUGGCUGACCGCACAGAGCCUGGAGACUUCGGGUUAGCAGUCAAGAUCCUCCAUAAUGUGGUCCCACACGACUUUCCCAGUCUGCUUUCCCUCCUUCCAUCCUGGGGGACAUAGGCUCAGGAAGACCAAGUCACUUAUCCAAGCGCACACAGAUACCAAGCGGCAUAUCCCCAAAUCAAGCCUUCAAACCCCAGACACCAGACUCCAAAACCAACUCUCUUUCUAGCCCGCCACUUCUUCACUUCGACGCAGCCACAUGCAGUGAAGAUUUUCCCACAUAGAGCUUUUUCUCUUCUUUGGAAAAAUUUUCUCAGGACAGAUUCCCAGGAGUGGGAUUGCCAGAUCAAAAGAUAUUAAUAUUUUUAUGGCUGCAUGCACUGACACAUGCUUUGCAAAAAG